Molecule: long non-coding RNA, 364 nt
Organism: Aphidius gifuensis
Lineage: Eukaryota; Metazoa; Arthropoda; Insecta; Hymenoptera; Braconidae
Exons: 3
Source: RefSeq, a predicted model, not a curated record
ACAAUUUUUAAAUACAAGUUUUUUUUUGUGAAUUUUUGUAUGGAAAAUAUUUCCGACGGAAAUGAAAUAAUUUAAUCAUAAAUAUACACAAAAAUUAGGCGUGUGUUGAAAUUCAAUCGAUAACUGGGCUCUGGAGAUGUCAGCAUCUGCGCAUUUCAAAUUUCAAUUAAAAAAAAUUAUUAAACAAAGAACCAUUGAAGGACAAGAUUGAGAACACGUUCUAGACAUCCUAAUCGAAUGUUGAAAAAUUUUAGUCGGAUCAGGUACGAUUGGUUAAAAUUCGUGCUAUCUUUCAAUCAUAUUGGUAUAAUCCUUCAUGUUCAGUCACGUUCGCAUUAUCGAUGGACAAGAGAGGACGUCACGU